Molecule: transfer RNA, 77 nt
Filed under: bacterium
Lineage: Bacteria
Description: tRNA-Arg
Rfam family: tRNA
About the family: Transfer RNA (tRNA) molecules are approximately 80 nucleotides in length. Their secondary structure includes four short double-helical elements and three loops (D, anti-codon, and T loops).
Source: RNAcentral
GCGCCCGUAGCUCAGUUGGAUAGAGCACAGGAUUCCUAAUCCUGGGGCCGUGGGUUCAAUUCCCGCCGGGCGCGCCA